Long non-coding RNA from Lycium ferocissimum, 627 nucleotides. RefSeq lists it as uncharacterized. The record is from RefSeq and is a predicted model, not a curated record. Lineage: Eukaryota; Viridiplantae; Streptophyta; Magnoliopsida; Solanales; Solanaceae. The transcript has 3 exons.
CCUCUUCAUCUCAAAACGUGUUCAUUUUUCAAACUGCUUCACAAACAAGUAAGAUAAUACAUUUUCAGAUAUUAGCUGCAAUGGGAUUGAUACUAAGUUUCGGAAGUUUGAGACUACCAAUCUGCCAUAUUACGGGCUUUAUUAAAAGGGUUCAAUCUGAGAUUGAUGGUUUACAGCAGACGAAGUUAAUUCAACCAAAUGUGAAUUGGUUCUGCACAAAUCUUUCACGAAUUUUACUGGUCUUUCGGAAAUUGUUGGAUUCAAAGGCAGAGAUACAUUAUCAAGAAGAAUGACGGAGAGAGAAGAAAAUGGGGACCUAUAGAAGAAGGAAAUAAAGAGGGAAAAACAAAACGAUGACAAAUUAUAUAUGGCUUUUAUGAAUUCACAUUUUCAUUAAGAAGGUUGAGUCUCCAAAGUGAUCAAUAUCAUCUUGAAGUUUCAAAAAUUUAUCUUUAGUGACUUUUUCCGCUAAAUUUAAUCCUUUUUAUGGUGCUCUUUUUGUUGUUUCACAUUUGAUGUAGAUUUAACAUUUGUAAAUAUUAAUUAUUUGUUCUUGUAUCCGACGAAUUGUAUAAUCCCUUAAUUAAAUUGAAGAGAAAAGAACAAUUCUUGCCCUUGUGCUUUUCA